AUACGUAGGGGGCGAGCGUUGUCCGGAAUGAUUGGGCGUAAAGGGCGCGUAGGCGGCCCGGUAAGUCUGGAGUGAAAGUCCUGUUUUUAAGAUGGGAAUUGCUUUGGAUACUGUCGGGCUUGAGUGCGGGAGAGGUAAGUGGAAUUCCCAGUGUAGCGGUGAAAUGCGUAGAGAUUGGGAGGAACACCAGUGGCGAAGGCGACUUACUGGACUGUAACUGACGCUGAGGCGCGAAAGUGUGGGGAGCAAACAGGAUUAGAUACCCUGGUAGUCCACACUGUAAACAAUGAAUGCUAGGUGUAGGGGGUAUCGACCCCUUCUGUGCCGCAGUCAACACAAUAAGCAUUCCGCCUGGGGAGUACGGCCGCAAGGUUGAAACUCAAAUGAAUUGACGGGG
RNAcentral lists this ribosomal RNA (397 nucleotides) under uncultured bacterium. Its description in RNAcentral is "partial 16S ribosomal RNA". It matches the Rfam family "Bacterial small subunit ribosomal RNA", at positions 523 to 918 of the family's 1533-position model. The record is from RNAcentral.